This 616-nucleotide ribosomal RNA is filed under the name uncultured bacterium. Its description in RNAcentral is "bacterial SSU rRNA". It matches the Rfam family "Bacterial small subunit ribosomal RNA", at positions 94 to 744 of the family's 1533-position model. The record is from RNAcentral.
AGCGGCGGACGGCUGAGUAACACGUAGGAACGUACCCCAAAGUGAGGGAUAAGCACCAGAAAUGGUGUCUAAUACCGCAUGUGGCCCACGGGCUAAAGCUUUAUGCGCUUUGGGAACGGCCUGCGUAAGAUUAGCUUGUUGGUGAGGUAAUGGCUCACCAAGGCGACGAUCUUUAGCUGGUCUGAGAGGAUGACCAGCCAGACUGGGACUGAGACACGGCCCAGACUCCUACGGGAGGCAGCAGUAGGGAAUUUUCCACAAUGGGCGAAAGCCUGAUGGAGCAACGCCGCGUGCAGGAUGAAGGCCUUCGGGUUGUAAACUGCUUUUACGAGUGAAGAUUAUGACGGUAGCUCGUGAAUAAGGAUCGGCUAACUCCGUGCCAGCAGCCGCGGUCAUACGGAGGAUCCAAGCGUUAUCCGGAAUUACUGGGCGUAAAGAGUGCGUAGGUGGCAUUGUAAGUAGGUAGUGAAAGCGUUCGGCUCAACCGGAUAAACAUUAUCUAAACUGCAAAGCUAGAGGAUGAGAGAGGUUAUUGGAAUUCCCUGUGUAGGAGUGAAAUCCGUAGAAAUAGGGAAGAACACGGAUGGCUAAGGCAGAUUACUGGCCCAUUCCUGUG